CAUCAUUAAGGGUGAUUUACGCUGAGGCACGAAAAAGUGCGGAUAUCAACACAGGAUUAUAUACCCUGUAGUGUCACGCACAGUAAACGAUGAAUGCUCGUUCUGGGCAAUAUACUAUCAGGCCCAGCGAAAGCCAUUAGCCAUUCCACUGGGGAGUUAGACCGCAAGCGGAAACUUCAAAGAAAUGACGGGGGGCCGCACACAGCGGAAGGACCAUGUGUUUAAUUUCGAUGAUAGCGAGGGACCUUUACCCGGGCUUGAAUUGCAGAGGAGAGAUCCAGAGAUGGUGAUGUCCUUCGGGACAUCUGUGAAGGUGCUGCAUGGUUGUCGUCAGCUCGUGCCGUGAGGUGUCGGCAUAAGUGCCAUAACGAGCGCAACCCUUGUCAUCAGUUACCAUCAGGUUGUGCUGGGCACUCUGGCGGGACUGCCAUCGCAAGAUGUGAGGAAGGGGGGGAUGACGUCAAAUCAGCACGGCCCUUACGUCCGGGGCGACACACGUGGACAAUGGGGGGCACAGAAUGCCGCUGGGGGGUGACAUCCGGCAAAUCUACAAAACCCCUCUCAGUUCGGACUGGAGUGUGCAACCCGACUCAGGAAGCG
Molecule: ribosomal RNA, 600 nt
Filed under: uncultured bacterium
Lineage: Bacteria
Description: bacterial SSU rRNA
Rfam family: Bacterial small subunit ribosomal RNA
Source: RNAcentral